CGUGUAGGCGGGUUAUUAAGUCAGAUGUGAAAUACCGAGGCUCAACUUCGGGGCUGCAUCUGAAACUAAUAAUCUUGAGUGCAGGAGAGGAAAGCGGAAUUCCAAGUGUAGCGGUGAAAUGCGUAGAUAUUUGGAGGAACACCAGUGGCGAAGGCGGCUUUCUGGACUGUAACUGACGCUGAGGCGCGAAAGCGUGGGGAGCAAACAGGAUUAGAUACCCUGGUAGUCCACGCCGUAAACGAUGGAUACUAGGUGUAGGAGGUAUCGACCCCUUCUGUGCCGGAGUUAACACAAUAAGUAUCCCACCGUGGGGAGUACGGCCGCAAGGUUGAA
Molecule: ribosomal RNA, 333 nt
Filed under: uncultured bacterium
Lineage: Bacteria
Description: bacterial SSU rRNA
Rfam family: Bacterial small subunit ribosomal RNA
Source: RNAcentral